AACGAAACUUUGCAUCAGUAGGCCUAGUAAACCAGAACAAGCAAAGUAUGGAUUGAUAGACGGCCCAAUUUCUGUAACUUUACCCAGAAAUAUGGGCGUCUUCCGUGCUGCUUGUUCGGGAACUUCGGUUCCUACCCAUACUAGGGGGUACUGAUGCGUGCGGGAGGCGACCAUAUUUUAUUGUUCCCUCCUGCUAUUAGGAUCAUUGCUUUA
This 213-nucleotide non-coding RNA is filed under the name Pedobacter sp. BAL39. RNAcentral's name for it is "Pedo-repair RNA". It matches the Rfam family "Pedo-repair RNA". Lineage: Bacteria; Pseudomonadati; Bacteroidota; Sphingobacteriia; Sphingobacteriales; Sphingobacteriaceae. The record is from RNAcentral.